RNAcentral lists this ribosomal RNA (250 nucleotides) under uncultured bacterium. RNAcentral describes it as "partial 16S ribosomal RNA". It matches the Rfam family "Bacterial small subunit ribosomal RNA", at positions 524 to 773 of the family's 1533-position model. The record is from RNAcentral.
AACGUAGGGGGCGAGCGUUAUCCGGAUUUACUGGGCGUAAAGCGCGUGUAGGCGGUGGGAUAAGUUGGACGUGAAAGCUCCCGGCUUAACUGGGAGAGGUCGUUCAAAACUAUCCGACUGGAGGUUGGAAGAGGAGAGUGGAAUUCCCGGUGUAGUGGUGGAAUGCGUAGAGAUCGGGAGGAACACCAGUGGCGAAAGCGGCUCUCUGGACCAAACCUGACGCUGAGAUGCGAAAGCGUGGGGAGCAAAC